AUCAAAACACUCCUAUGUAAGCAAUAAAUUGAAUAAGUUGAAGUAUUUGGCGUAGGAAAUUGGGACAUUUAGCGUUAUUGAUUCUCUAAGCUUCUUGAUCAGUUCUAGGUGAAAGCAAAUAAACGGUAUCUUCUGUUUUGUCCGUCACGAAUUCCCUCAUAAGAAUGGAGUGACAUAGUUAAAACGAGAAGGAAUUUACCAUUGAUUCUAGUUUGCUUGAUCUUCUUUGAUUAUAUAACCUAGCUUCUCACCUACACAUCUACCCCAGCAUGCUUCUAACAGACUAAACACAAAUCAAAAGCGAUGCGCGCGCGUCCUGUCUUCAUUAACGUUGUCUAAAGUGUAUUACUGUAUUAUUAGAUAACGCGGUUGGUAUUUUUUGCUGUCAGAUUUUGCGAGCUUGGUGUUAGAUCACGUUAUACGUCUCUUUAUAAUGACAUGGCUCCUCUAGAUGCAAUGAGGGAAUUUUCGGUUACGCCGCUGCGCAUGCAUAGAGUUUGUGAAAAAGUUGCACCCCACAAUCCCCUGUGACCAUGACUAAAGGUAGAACCUUUUUUGAGGUGAAGCAACUGUAUAUGAGUUUUUGAAACUAUCGGUUUUGUAGGUGUUUUUGAGCGUCUCUAUUUAUUUACAUUGCUAAUCGAAGUCAAGAAACAACAAUGUCCGGUAUGUUGUAGCGGACGCGGCUGGAAUCGCUGAAUGGUCGCUCCCUCUUUCACAGAGGCGGGCCAUGAAUCGCUGUGCAGAUACAUGUCGUCAGCGUUACGGGAGUCAUCAUUAAAAGUCCGCAAACGGAUCCGCCCGUACAAUUUAUCAAAAUAGUCUCGCUCGUGUAUUAAAUUGUCGUUAAAAUACCCUGUCCGACUUUGACAACUACCAUUACACCUACCGCUCAUUUUUUACCAUUUGGCUGUACUGAUUGAUUACCUA
This is a non-coding RNA of Schizosaccharomyces pombe (fission yeast), 930 nucleotides long. The record is from the annotation of a GenBank genome assembly. Lineage: Eukaryota; Fungi; Ascomycota; Schizosaccharomycetes; Schizosaccharomycetales; Schizosaccharomycetaceae.